This is a long non-coding RNA of Macrosteles quadrilineatus (aster leafhopper), 546 nucleotides long. RefSeq lists it as uncharacterized. Lineage: Eukaryota; Metazoa; Arthropoda; Insecta; Hemiptera; Cicadellidae. The record is from RefSeq and is a predicted model, not a curated record. The transcript has 3 exons.
CUAUGUUUAUUUGAAUCAUCGUUAGUAAAUCAAAUGUAUGCCGAUUGGGGAUAAUUUCAAGUUCAUAUUUAAAUUUGUUUUAAUGUGUAUCUGUCUUCUUUAUGUCUGUAUAUCAAAACUGGCUGACGCAUUGAAAAUGGGAAACAAACCAAAUCGCUUUGGCACAAAUAAAAAAUCUUACCAUGGCUGUAAAAAUCAAUAUCAAGUUAGAAUUUCUGAAGAGGAUUACCUACCAAUGAAUCGAAGUAUGAAAGAAACCCUGUUAAAUGGAAAAAAAAUUCAGCGUGUUGUGCCAAGACCUGUCGCAUGCAAGAAUUGCAUUGUUAAAGUAGAGGAUAAUACAAACAGCAAAACUGUAGACUUUGAUGAAGGCGCAUCAUGCAAAGGAAAAGUUUUAAACGAUGAAAAUCGAAAUGACCAACAUAUAUUUAGGGACAGUUGUUACUUACAGAAUUCUUAUACGCCAUGCAAAUAUUUAUCAGAUAAAGCUGGCGUUUUAACACCAAUAGUUACAGUAAAGAAAAGUGAAAUAAAUCUAAAAUCACU